GAUGAACGCUGGCGGCGUGCCUAACACAUGCAAGUCGAACGGAGCUGCUUUGAUGAAGUUUUCGGAUGGAUUUAAAACAGCUUAGUGGCGGACGGGUGAGUAACGCGUGGGUAACCUGCCUCACACUGGGGGAUAACAGUUAGAAAUAGCUGCUAAUACCGCAUAAGCGCACGGUUCCGCAUGGAACAGUGUGAAAAACUCCGGUGGUGUGAGAUGGACCCGCGUCUGAUUAGCCAGUUGCGGGUAACGGCCCACCAAGGCGACGAUCGGUAGCCGGACUGAGAGGUUGAACGGCCACAUUGGGACUGAGACACGGCCCAGACUCCUACGGGAGGCAGCAGUGGGGAAUA
RNAcentral lists this ribosomal RNA (350 nucleotides) under uncultured bacterium. RNAcentral's name for it is "bacterial SSU rRNA". It matches the Rfam family "Bacterial small subunit ribosomal RNA", at positions 28 to 363 of the family's 1533-position model. The record is from RNAcentral.